This 63-nucleotide transfer RNA is filed under the name Cucujoidea sp. 38 KM-2017. RNAcentral's name for it is "tRNA-Thr". It matches the Rfam family "tRNA". Rfam says of the family: Transfer RNA (tRNA) molecules are approximately 80 nucleotides in length. Their secondary structure includes four short double-helical elements and three loops (D, anti-codon, and T loops). Lineage: Eukaryota; Metazoa; Arthropoda; Insecta; Coleoptera. The record is from RNAcentral.
GUUUUUAUAGUUUAAAUAAAACCUUGGUCUUGUAAACCAAAAAUAAGAUUCCCUUUAAAAACA